Molecule: non-coding RNA, 600 nt
Organism: Schizosaccharomyces pombe (fission yeast)
Lineage: Eukaryota; Fungi; Ascomycota; Schizosaccharomycetes; Schizosaccharomycetales; Schizosaccharomycetaceae
Source: the annotation of a GenBank genome assembly
CACUCGUGAAGGGUUUGCUGCAACCAUACCAUAAUCAGAACGUCCCAAUUCAUCACGAUGAACAGCGUUUUGCAUAGUUAAGCCACGCAAAAAUACUAAGUCUACCAAUGCCUCAAUAGACAAAACAUCACCCAUAGCGGACAAAGCAGAAUAUUCACCCAAAGAAUGACCAGCAAAGGCACAGUCGUUUUGAACUAAACCUUUAGAACGCAUGUCUUCAAAUGCCGACUUCUCCAUCAAUGUCAGUGCAGGUUGAGUAAAUUGAGUAGCUGACAAUAAGCCGGAAGGAUGAGUGAAACUAAACGAGGUAGAGUCCUUAGUAAUGGUUUCAAAUACUGGGACAACUUUGCUAGUUCCGUCUUCCAUGAGCUUUUCGUAUGCCAUAGCCAUAUAGUUAUCACGAAUCUUUUUACCCUUAGAACCACCAAAGUGAAUGGUGAUGCUAUGGGGAUUAUGUUUGACAAUGUCAAUAAUGGAGAAUCCAUAGUUCGUUAAGAAGUGCUUGUCGGCACUGUCCCAAAUCUUACGAGCUACGGGACUUGAAGCAUAUAGAUCCAUACCCAUACCCUGUUCUUGAGAACCCUGACCGGUGAAAACAUA